Molecule: transfer RNA, 67 nt
Filed under: Verrucomicrobiota bacterium
Lineage: Bacteria; Pseudomonadati; Verrucomicrobiota
Description: tRNA-Met
Rfam family: tRNA
About the family: Transfer RNA (tRNA) molecules are approximately 80 nucleotides in length. Their secondary structure includes four short double-helical elements and three loops (D, anti-codon, and T loops). Further hydrogen bonds mediate the characteristic L-shaped molecular structure. tRNAs have two regions of fundamental functional importance: the anti-codon, which is responsible for specific mRNA codon recognition, and the 3' end, to which the tRNAs corresponding amino acid is attached (by aminoacyl-tRNA synthetases). tRNAs cope with the degeneracy of the genetic code in two manners: having more than one tRNA (with a specific anti-codon) for a particular amino acid; and 'wobble' base-pairing, i.e. permitting non-standard base-pairing at the 3rd anti-codon position.
Source: RNAcentral
GGUUACAAUCGGUUAGAGCAGGCGACUCAUAAUCGCUUGGUCGCAGGUUCAAAUCCUGCCGGGCCCA